GCAGUCGAGCGGAUCGAUGGGAGCUUGCUCCCUGAGAUCAGCGGCGGACGGGUGAGUAACACGUGGGUAACCUGCCUGUAAGACUGGGAUAACUCCGGGAAACCGGGGCUAAUACCGGAUAACACCUACCCCCGCAUGGGGGAAGGUUGAAAGGUGGCUUCGGCUAUCACUUACAGAUGGACCCGCGGCGCAUUAGCUAGUUGGUGAGGUAAUGGCUCACCAAGGCGACGAUGCGUAGCCCACCUGAGAGGGUGAUCGGCCACACUGGGACUGAAACACGGCCCACACUCCUACGGGAGGCAGCAGUAGGGAAUCUUCCGCAAUGGACAAAAGUCUGACGGAGCAACCCCGCGUGAGUGAAAAAGGUUUUCGGAUCAUAAAACUCUGUUGUUAGGGAAGAACAAGUGCCGUUCAAAUAGGGCGGCGCCUUGACGGUACCUAACCAGAAAGCCACGGCUAACUACGUGCCAGCAGCCGCGGUAAUACGUAGGUGGCAAGCGUUGUCCGGAAUUAUUGGGCGUAAAGCGCGCGCAGGUGGUUUCUUAAGUCUGAUGUGAAAGCCCACGGCUCAACCGUGGAGGGUCAUUGGAAACUGGGGAACUUGAGUGCAGAAGAGGAAAGUGGAAUUCCAAGUGUAGCGGUGAAAUGCGUAGAUAUUUGGAGGAACACCAGUGGCGAAGGCGACUUUCUGGUCUGUAACUGACACUGAGGCGCGAAAGCGUGGGGGAGCAAACAGGAUUAGAUACCCUGGUAGUCCACGCCGUAAACGAUGAGUGCUAAGUGUUAGAGGGUUUCCGCCCUUUAGUGCUGCAGCUAACGCAUUAAGCACUCCGCCUGGGGAGUACGGUCGCAAGACUGAAACUCAAAGGAAUUUGACGGGGGCCCGCACAAGCGGUGGAGCAUGUGGUUUAAUUCGAAGCAACGCGAAGAACCUUACCAGGUCUUGACAUCCUCUGACAACCCUAGAGAUAGGGCUUUCCCCUUCGGGGGACAGAGUGACAGGUGGUGCAUGGUUGUCGUCAGCUCGUGUCGUGAGAUGUUGGGUUAAGUCCCGCAACGAGCGCAACCCUUGAUCUUAGUUGCCAGCAUUCAGUUGGGCACUCUAAGAUGACUGCCGGUGACAAACCGGAGGAAGGUGGGGAUGACGUCAAAUCAUCAUGCCCCUUAUGACCUGGGCUACACACGUGCUACAAUGGACGGUACAAAGGGCUGCAAGACCGCGAGGUUUAGCCAAUCCCAUAAAACCGUUCUCAGUUCGGAUUGUAGGCUGCAACUCGCCUACAUGAAGCUGGAAUCGCUAGUAAUCGCGGAUCAGCAUGCCGCGGUGAAUACGUUCCCGGGCCUUG
Molecule: ribosomal RNA, 1346 nt
Filed under: Rossellomorea aquimaris
Lineage: Bacteria; Bacillati; Bacillota; Bacilli; Caryophanales; Bacillaceae
Description: bacterial SSU rRNA
Rfam family: Bacterial small subunit ribosomal RNA
Source: RNAcentral